Molecule: ribosomal RNA, 301 nt
Filed under: uncultured bacterium
Lineage: Bacteria
Description: partial 16S ribosomal RNA
Rfam family: Bacterial small subunit ribosomal RNA
Source: RNAcentral
CAGCAGCCACGGGAAUACGAAGGGGGCUAGCGUUGCUCGGAAUGACUGGGCGUAAAGGGCGCGUAGGCGGAUUGUUUAGUUAGGCGUGAAAUUCCUGGGCUUAACCUGGGGACUGCGCUUAAUACAGGCAGUCUAGAGUGAGGAAGAGGGUUGUGGAAUUCCCAGUGUAGAGGUGAAAUUCGUAGAUAUUGGGAAGAACACCGGUGGCGAAGGCGGCGACCUGGUCCUUGACUGACGCUGAGGCGCGAAAGCGUGGGGAGCAAACAGGAUUAGAUACCCCGGUAGUCCCUGUCUCUUAUAC